UCAAUUCCUCAUAAUCUGUUUUUAUUUAGCGUAUGAGGUAAUCUUGAACUUUGUAACCUUUUGCAGUUUUCUCUUCUGUACUGCUUUAUCAGUAAAAUGUACUUGGAUAAAAAAAGAAGGAAUGUCUAUAUCAUUAAAUAACUUAAGGUUUUGAACCAGAUGAGAUUGUUGAGGACUCUCACAACAAGUAUAUAUUUUUCACGAGCACAAUCAGGUUAGGUGAUGAUUAAGCAACAUAUAUGAUCUCUGAAUAUGUGGUUAUGUCCGUCCAAAAGACGAUAACUAUACAAACUACGCGGUCUGAUGCAAAUUCUUGGUCAUAAUCUGGAGGCGAUGGAACAAAAUUGGGCAUUUAUAGAAAUUUAAUUUUCCAUGUUUUUGGUCUGGAUCAAGUUAAAUGUGGCAGUUUCAAUUCUCUGCAAAACAUAAAUUUCAACAUAUAAUAUUACUCUUCAUUUUCUUAAAACAAAAGAACGUGUGAUAGGAACAUGAUGAAAAUAAAUUUAAGAAGGAGAUCCACGUCUCAUGUUUAAAGAGAAUAUAAAAAAAUAGUUCACGUGAUCCUUAAAACUUCACAAAAUAGAAGAUGUCACACUCCCUUUUUCAUACUCCAAAAAAGAUUAAUUCUAAAGUUUUGAAAGGAUUUUUAUUGUUAAAGUGACAAAAGUGAAGAUUUGUUUCGAAAAGGACUUUUUAUAUUUAAAACUCAGAGUCGCCACUUGGCAUAAUCCGGUGUGCCAAGUCACCUUUGGACAAUCCUUUUCAAAACAAUUUGACUCUUUAAAACUGGUUUGCAAACAGAGAUUCCGGCUAAGGAAUUCUGUUGACCGAGGGGAAGGUGUUAGGCACCCCUCGAUCCCGUGGAUUGACCACGGUCGCUUGGUGGAGCGUAUCGACUGAUUUGACACUAAAAACGUAUAAACCACACAAAAACACACAAAACAAUCAAACAAACAAAAAUAAAACAAUCUGAAAAUAUAGUGUCCAGUCCGAAUUAUACAGUCCCAAAAAUAUAAAAAUACAAAAAUGUAACUCCUAUUCUAAACUAAUUCUAAACUAUUCUCCAAUACCUUACCCGAUGCGUCGGGCCUUGAUCACGAACAUCCUCCGAAUACAAAAUACUUCGGGGCAUUCCCCGGCCAAAUGAUACACUUGAUCCAAAUAAGAUAACAAAAAAAAGUUCAAAACACACAUUUAAACAUUCAAGGCAUUCAAUCAACACAUCACUCCUAAAUUUUUGCCUACCCAAACCUAUAUUGCCUAUUCAUUUCACCAUAUCGUAAAUCUAUCACGUUCAUGCUUAUCCCGAAUUAAAGAAAAUGGCAACGGAACAAAAUUUAACUACAAUCAACUUCUAUCAAAUUCUUAAUUACACCCCUAAAUUCAUUCUCAACUAAUGAUUAACCUAGCUUCGAUUAUCAAUUCAAUUUCUCGCACCCAAAUUCAACAUCAACCAGCAUCAACCAUACACACAGUAAAGGCUCAAGCAUGAUAAGCAUACCAAAACAUUCACGUCUGCAAGAACAAUCAAAAUUUGAGAUAAAAAUAGAGAAUGAAAGAAAUGGACCUCAAGUUUCUCUUUCAAAAUCAAUGUAUUAUUUCAAUUAAAUCCGACUUCUCCACAUCCGAAGCCUUUGAGUCGAACCUCAACAGCAGACCCAGUCCAAACUCGGUACUACCAAAAUUAAAACCCCGAACUGACCACAAUGAUCCAAUAUCUCGCUAAAAUCUAACGGAAAAUCAAACACCCGCAAGGUUCAAACUCCGAUGAGUCAUCGGUGAUGCAGACGACCAGAACAACCAGUCGCCGGACGGAUUCCAUCUGAAAUUGAAGAACAACGGAGGGAGGUUUGACCGUUUUAUACGAAUGACGAACGGAAGGGAUGACUCCGGCGAAUCUAUUGCCAGAACAGUAACCCGAAAUCAACCCUGCUUCCUUCUUCGUUAUGGAUCUAGACCUCUCUCACUCUAUCUCCCUCCCAUUCUCGAAUCUCUCUCUCUCUUUCUCUUCUCCCUCUCAUGAUCUUUCUCUCAAUCUCUCUGUGUGUCAUUUUCUAUUUUGUGAUGAGAAAACCAUGUGCGAAGCCUUUUCCGAUGACAACCAGUGUGUGAUAUAGAUUUAUGUGUUCUUAGUGGAAUCAGAUGGUGAGUAUGGGUAUGGUCAUGAAUGAAAAAUGAAGCUCUACCAUUGUUGUGAUAUGCGUGUAUGGUAUUUUAGUGGUGUCAGGUGGGUGUUAAUGGUGGAGUGAUGGUUUUGUCAUGGUGUUAAUGGAGUGUGUGCGAUGGUGCUGAUUGUGAGGGAAUUUUGUGAAGGUGUCUGUGGUAAUUGUAUAUUCCUUUUUAUUUGUGAGAGUGUAUAUAUAUUAUAUUUUGUUCCCUUAAAACAAAAUGGUUCCUUGUGGGCUUUCCUGGAAGUUUCCUAGUGGGCCCCUUUCUAAUUUUUAUCCCUUUUUGCCUUUGUGGACAAGAAAUAUGAGGGGGAGGGGGUCACGUGGGUAUGGGGUAUUGGGGGUAGGGGUAUGGGUAAUUUGUCUUCUUUUAAUUGAAAGGGUUGUUAGGAUGUUAAAAGAAUAAAAGUUUGUUAGGAAUUUUGUUGAGAGUUAUUUUUUUGUAUUUUUAUGGGAUGUAAUUACAUGGGAGAGGGUACACGGUAGGAUAAGGUAAAAAUGGAGAAAACGAUAUCGGGGAGGGACGAAAUUACAUGUCUACAUCAUGCUCCCUUUGAAUGUAAACACGCAGUGUUUUCAGACAAAGAAGUAAACAACGAGACCAAAUUUUAUCUCGAUCAUUAUUCAAAGAGAGGAGUAAAAGAAAGAAAGACAACCGAAUCCUUUAGGACACCCUACCUACCCAAGUCAUGAGGAAGUUAAGUGAUAGGUGUUUCAAAGGAUUGGAAAGAGAUGGACUAUACCGAGUUGGAGAGUCGAGUGAGGUUCCAUAGAGGUUUCAAAACACACAUUUAAACAUUCAAGGCAUUCAAUCAACACAUCACUCCUAAAUUUUUGCCUACCCAAACCUAUAUUGCCUAUUCAUUUCACCAUAUCGUAAAUCUAUCACGUUCAUGCUUAUCCCGAAUUAAAGAAAAUGGCAACGGAACAAAAUUUAACUACAAUCAACUUCUAUCAAAUUCUUAAUUACACCCCUAAAUUCAUUCUCAACUAAUGAUUAACCUAGCUUCGAUUAUCAAUUCAAUUUCUCGCACCCAAAUUCAACAUCAACCAGCAUCAACCAUACACACAGUAAAGGCUCAAGCAUGAUAAGCAUACCAAAACAUUCACGUCUGCAAGAACAAUCAAAAUUUGAGAUAAAAAUAGAGAAUGAAAGAAAUGGACCUCAAGUUUCUCUUUCAAAAUCAAUGUAUUAUUUCAAUUAAAUCCGACUUCUCCACAUCCGAAGCCUUUGAGUCGAACCUCAACAGCAGACCCAGUCCAAACUCGGUACUACCAAAAUUAAAACCCCGAACUGACCACAAUGAUCCAAUAUCUCGCUAAAAUCUAACGGAAAAUCAAACACCCGCAAGGUUCAAACUCCGAUGAGUCAUCGGUGAUGCAGACGACCAGAACAACCAGUCGCCGGACGGAUUCCAUCUGAAAUUGAAGAACAACGGAGGGAGGUUUGACCGUUUUAUACGAAUGACGAACGGAAGGGAUGACUCCGGCGAAUCUAUUGCCAGAACAGUAACCCGAAAUCAACCCUGCUUCCUUCUUCGUUAUGGAUCUAGACCUCUCUCACUCUAUCUCCCUCCCAUUCUCGAAUCUCUCUCUCUCUUUCUCUUCUCCCUCUCAUGAUCUUUCUCUCAAUCUCUCUGUGUGUCAUUUUCUAUUUUGUGAUGAGAAAACCAUGUGCGAAGCCUUUUCCGAUGACAACCAGUGUGUGAUAUAGAUUUAUGUGUUCUUAGUGGAAUCAGAUGGUGAGUAUGGGUAUGGUCAUGAAUGAAAAAUGAAGCUCUACCAUUGUUGUGAUAUGCGUGUAUGGUAUUUUAGUGGUGUCAGGUGGGUGUUAAUGGUGGAGUGAUGGUUUUGUCAUGGUGUUAAUGGAGUGUGUGCGAUGGUGCUGAUUGUGAGGGAAUUUUGUGAAGGUGUCUGUGGUAAUUGUAU
RNAcentral lists this long non-coding RNA (4097 nucleotides) under Capsicum annuum. RNAcentral's name for it is "long non-coding RNA (CANN_LNC022220)". Lineage: Eukaryota; Viridiplantae; Streptophyta; Magnoliopsida; Solanales; Solanaceae. The record is from RNAcentral.